RNAcentral lists this ribosomal RNA (465 nucleotides) under uncultured bacterium. RNAcentral's name for it is "partial 16S ribosomal RNA". It matches the Rfam family "Bacterial small subunit ribosomal RNA", at positions 338 to 795 of the family's 1533-position model. The record is from RNAcentral.
CCUACGGGAGGCAGCAGUGGGGAAUUUUGCGCAAUGCUCGUAAGAGUGACGCAGCGACGCCGCGUGAAUGACGAAGGCCUUCGGGUCGUAAAGUUCUUUCGACAGGGAAGAAAAUGCCUAUAAGUAACUGUGUAUGUAUUGACGGUACCUGUAUAAGCAGCCCCGGCUAACUCCGUGCCAGCAGCCGCGGUAAUACGGAGGGGGCGAGCGUUGUUCGGAGGGACUGGGCGUAAAGAGCACGUAGGCGGUGUUGUAAGUCAUUAGUCAAAGACUAGAGCUCAACUUUAGUAAGGCUAGUGAUACUAUAAUACUAGAGUAGCAGAGAGGAUUGCAGAAUUCCUGGUGUAGCGGUGAAAUGCGUAGAUAUCAGGAGGAAUACCGUUAGCGAAGGCGGCUAUCUGGCUGGAAACUGACGCUGAGGUGCGAAAGCGUGGGUAGCAAACAGGAUUAGAUACCCUAGUAGUC